Molecule: long non-coding RNA, 1587 nt
Organism: Hordeum vulgare subsp. vulgare (domesticated barley)
Lineage: Eukaryota; Viridiplantae; Streptophyta; Magnoliopsida; Poales; Poaceae
Exons: 4
Source: RefSeq, a predicted model, not a curated record
UCUGGACUCCACGGCCCAAUCAAUGCCCAUCUCCCUGAUUCUCCUCCGGCUCAUCCGUCGCUGGCGACGGCAGUUUCUACCGCUUCCGCCGCCGCCGCACCGAAAAGGGAUUUCCUCCCGUCUCCCCAGGAUUGGUGAAUUGAUCAAGAACAUACACAUUUUCCACAUCCUUCUUCAGCUGUUCUACCCUAUCAAGUAAAGCUUUGAAUCCAUGCUGUACAGCAUCUGCAGGAGACAAGCAUGUUACCAUCUGACACGUGAUAUGAGGGGCAUGGUACCUCAGAUCCUUACCAACUAAUACCACUUCUAUGCCAAGCAAUGAACGCCACACCGAUGCCAAGAUUACUACUUGUGACCCCCAGAAGCGUUGUGAUGCCAGGUGUGAUCAAGCCUUUCUCCUCUGCAUCUUCGAUCAAUCUGCAAAAGAUUUCAUUCAUUCAUAUUGUUGUCUAUACUCAUGAUGUUACGAAUGGUACAUUUGAGGUGAAUAAUUUCUUCCUCGGAAUGGAGUAAAAAAGAGUAGCCACCUGAGAGCACUCCGAUCUUUCACAGAGGAAAGGGGCUGGUAUGGCUCAAUCUUCCCAAUCAGCCGUCUUUCUCAGCGAUGUUUCUCAGUUCUAUCAGUGGUGUCCAACCAAUGAGCUGGAAAGCAUAGAAUUUACUUGCAGAUUAAAGAUAACAAGCUUUGUACAGUGAAGGAAUAAUGACUAUAUACAGAGUACUAGGCACCUGCGUGAUGUUGGUGACGAUGCACUCCCCUUGUGAGGACAGAAGAGAUGGUAUCCCUUUCCUUCCUUCCUGCGGCUCCAUUACUCUGGUACUUAUUUUGCAACAAAUAAAACUAGAAGACCUAGCAAGCUCGAAUGUCUUGAACAAAUGGAUGCACAGAAAUAAGAGGCGCUCCAGCAUUCAAUGAUGUUAUAUAGCUGAGAAGUCCCAUUCUGAUGGUAUACUACAUGGAUAAAUUAAUACUGGAUUUGGAGGUUUCAGGGAAUUGUCCCUGAAACUUCCAUCCAGACAUUUUUUUAAUUGAAGUUUGUUGACAUAUGACACUACAUCAGUGUGCAGCAUGCCAAUGAGAUAUCAAAUUCAGAAACCACCGAUUGGAUAGAAGCCUAGAACUUGGAACACAAGUUUCCCUGCAUGACAAGAAACGACCCAUCGGUUGGAGGCCUGGAACUUGGGCCACAAGUUUCCCUGCUUAGAGAACAAGACAAUCAACCAUCAUGCAGAGGGUGAAAAGGAACAUUGUUCAGGUUGCAAAGUACCAAAUGUAGCCGUUGUUAGUUUCGUGGCCUGUGACUUCAAUGCAAGUUGAGACGACUGGUUACGUACUCAUGAACUGAAGAUGCUGGAGUAAUCAACAGAGAUUUGUUUGGCAAGCUUCCCUGCUCUCUGAAAAGAUAAUUAGUUAAGGUGUGUGCUAUGACCUAUGAAACAACUCGCUGUUGUUUUGUUCAUGGCCUUGCUAUCUAAUUUUCACUGUUUUAGUCGGGUUUUUUUUUUAAAAAAAAAAUGCUUGUUUCUCACCUUCUUGGUGUAUUGGAUUAUUACAUAGAAAAGAAAACAUUCACCGGAGUUUAUCUA